GUUCUUUAUUUGUGUUAUCAAAUGGAUGGAUGAUGGAACGAAUUACACAAGGCCAGGGCGUCUUUUCACUCCUGAUACCAGAAUGAGAAACCAUCAAGCUGAGAGCAAUACAUAAAGACAAAGGUUUUGCUACACAAAUUGUAUAUAGGAUUAUCAAAGUACAGCAGGAUAAUUAUCCUGCCAGGUAAAAAUAUUUUCAAUGGUAAAUAUUCCUUAAACUUAAAAUUCACCACUAAGCCUUUAGGACAUAGUUGUCCUCUCUGUAGUGUUUUGCCCUGUUUUUGUGAUCCAGCCUUUUCUUUAACCUCGAAGGACGCCAAGGGGAUUUCAUAAAUAUUUUUCCCAUGACACAAAUGCAGCAGACAUGCACAUGAAAACCCCUCUGAACUGAACCGCACACACAGCACACAACACUGGACGGCAGCCCACAGGCUGCUGCUGCAGCAUUAGCGUAUGCGUAUGGGAGUGCUGCCGCGAGGAGGUCUGCGGAUGCCGGACCGAAGCGUCUGUCUGCUCCACCGGCUGCUCUGUCCCUCUGCUGCCUUCCUCAUCUUACUCCACCAAACCUGGCGAGAGAGCUGACGGAGAGGUAUUUGUGCAUGUACAGUAUGUACAUGUUAGGCCGUUUCUGUGCACGCAUGACUUUUGUAAACUACAUAUACUCACGGUAGCUUUUUUUUGUGUGUUGGACUAUCUGUCCAUCUGGUCUACUGUCUGUUUCAACUCGGUCUGUAAUCUGCAGGUGAGAAAGGAACCAAGCUGUCAGAAUGCAAAACACAACGUGAAAGAAAACUAAGCCAAACCUCCAGCAGACACAAUGAAGAGGAAGGAGCUCGGACUCAUAAGAGUCCGACAAGUGAGAACUCGGGGAGGUUAAGGUUUGUGGUGCAGGUGAAGCUUACGCGGAGCUGGAGAAAAACAGGAAGCCCGGCCAACACCACCCAUAGCCAAGUGCCGAAGUGCUUAAAAAAUGUCUCGGGCGGAAAAUAAAUGAUAUACAGGAACACGUUGAGAUGCUUUGGGUCUGAUGAGGUUUCCUGUUUGAGGGCCAGUUAAGAUGCAUAUCAAUGAGUACAUGAGAUGCUGAAGGCAAGAC
Long non-coding RNA from Gasterosteus aculeatus aculeatus (three-spined stickleback), 1096 nucleotides. NCBI's taxonomy places the organism in Eukaryota, Metazoa, Chordata, Actinopteri, Perciformes, Gasterosteidae. The record is from Ensembl.